RNAcentral lists this unclassified non-coding RNA (377 nucleotides) under plant metagenome. RNAcentral describes it as "partial contains 5.8S ribosomal RNA, internal transcribed spacer 2, and large subunit ribosomal RNA". The stretch from base 1 to 104 matches the Rfam family "5.8S ribosomal RNA", at positions 51 to 154 of the family's 154-position model. The record is from RNAcentral.
AAAUGCGAUAAGUAAUGUGAAUUGCAGAAUUCAGUGAAUCAUCGAAUCUUUUAACGCACCUUGCGCUCCUUGGUAUUCCUUGGAGCAUGCCUGUUUGAGUAUCAUGAAAUCUUCAAAGUAAAUCUUUUGUUAACUCAAUUGGUUUCUACUUUGGUAUUGGAGGUCUUUGCAGCUUCACACCUGCUCCUCUUUGUUCAUUAGCUGGAUCUCAGUGUUAUGCUUGGUUCCACUCGGCGUGAUAAGUUAUCUAUCGCUGAGGACACUGUAAAAGGUGGCCAAGGUAAAUGCAGAUGAACCGCUUCUAAUAGUCCAUUGACUUGGACAAUACUUUUAUGAUCUGAUCUCAAAUCAGGUAGGACUACCCGCUGAACUUAAGC